Molecule: ribosomal RNA, 360 nt
Filed under: Ochrobactrum sp. 27A/999/2015
Lineage: Bacteria; Pseudomonadati; Pseudomonadota; Alphaproteobacteria; Hyphomicrobiales; Brucellaceae
Description: bacterial LSU rRNA
Rfam family: Bacterial large subunit ribosomal RNA
Source: RNAcentral
UCCCAAGGGUAUGGCUGUUCGCCAUUUAAAGCGGUACGUGAGUUGGGUUCAGAACGUCGUGAGACAGUUCGGUCCCUAUCUGCCGUGGGUGUAGGAAUAUUGACAGGAUCUGUCCCUAGUACGAGAGGACCGGGAUGGACGUAUCUCUGGUGGACCUGUUGUCGUGCCAACGGCAUAGCAGGGUAGCUAUAUACGGACGGGAUAACCGCUGAAGGCAUCUAAGCGGGAAACCCACCUGAAAACGAGUAUUCCCUAUCAGAGCCGUGGAAGACCACCACGUUGAUAGGCCGGGUGUGGAAGUGCGGCAACGCAUGCAGCUUACCGGUACUAAUAGCUCGAUCGACUUGAUCACUCCCAUUU